AUUAGCAUCUUUGUCUUUUAUUAGUGUAGAUUGGAAUGAUACAGAAAUUAGAAUGGCCCUUGCACAAGGAUGACACUCAAAUUUGUGAAGCAUGCUAUAUUAAA
Small nuclear RNA from Myotis lucifugus (little brown bat), 104 nucleotides. The record is from Ensembl. NCBI's taxonomy places the organism in Eukaryota, Metazoa, Chordata, Mammalia, Chiroptera, Vespertilionidae.